RNAcentral lists this long non-coding RNA (2204 nucleotides) under Capsicum annuum. Its description in RNAcentral is "long non-coding RNA (CANN_LNC003973)". The record is from RNAcentral. Lineage: Eukaryota; Viridiplantae; Streptophyta; Magnoliopsida; Solanales; Solanaceae.
AGAGGUCGAGAGAGAGGGAGAGCUCGAGAAGUUGCUCACUGUUAUGCCUUUCCAAGAAAGCCUAAGGCAGAGUCUUCUGAUGCAGUCAUUACAUAUAUCAUCUCAGUUUGUCGUCGAUCGGUUUCAGUAUUAUUUGAUCAUGGUUCUACUUCUGCAUACUUUGUUUUUAGUUUUGAUAUGAUGCGUGAAUCUAUUGUUAUGCCUAUUCGUGUUUCUACCCCAGUAGGUAAUUCCUUAGUAGUGGAUCGGGUGUACCGAUCCUUUGUCGUUUCUAUUUUGUAGUGUGAUACCUGGGUAGAUUUGAUUAUCCUAGGUAUGGUUGACUUUGACAUAAUUUUAGGUAUGGAUUGAGUUUCUCCUUAUCAUGCUAUCUUGGACUGUCAUGCCAAGACAAUUACUUUAGCUAUGUCUGAUCGCCCAACGUUAGAGUGGAACAGUGAACGAAGUUCGUAUCCUAAGAAGGUGAUUUCAUUCAUUUAGGCCCAACAGUUAGUUGGGAAGAGUGUCCAUCAUAUUGGCUUAGGUUCGUGAUACUGAUACCGUGACACCUUCUUUAAAGUCAGUGAAGGUGGUUAGAGAGUUCAUAGAUGUAUCUUCUACUGAUCUUCCAGGUGUUUCUCUUGAUAGAGAUAUUAAUCUUAGUAUUGAUCUAGAGUCAGGCACUAAGCUCAUUCCUAUUCCUCCUUAUAUGAUGGCACCAACUGAGCUGUAAGAAUUAAAAGAUCAGCUUCAGGACUUGUUAAGCAAGAGGUUUAUUCGACCAAGUGUAUCACCUUGAAGUAUUGCAGUGUUGCUUGUGAAGAAGAAAGAUGGGUUUAUGAGGAUGUGCAUUGAUUAUCAAUAAUUGAACAAACUGACAAUCAAAAAUAAGUAUCCUCUAUCACAUUUUGAUGACUUGUUUGAUAAGGUUGCUAUUGGUUGAUAAGAAUUGAAGUGAAUGCUAGACAAUUUCUUUUGUCUUUUAGUAAUGAUGGUCAUGACCACUUUUCAUUAAAAUAGUAAGAAAGUGAUGGUUAUUAGCAUUGUACAGUAAUAUUAGUAUUGAACAUUAGCAGUGCAGUUGCGUUCUUUGGCUGCAAUUACAGAUUUAUCAUAUGGAAUUAUCAACUGUAGUUUACGCUAAAAAAGGAAAAGGAAUUAUUUUUAGAUGUUGAUUUUUUAGAGUAAGAAUUUAUUAAUUUAAAAAUUAAAUAAUGAUUCAUUUUAGUUGCAAUUUGACGAAUUAGUAUCUAUUUUUAUGAGGAUUAUAUGUUUCGAACAAAUUCUUAUUAUUUAAAAGUUUUACGCAAGGGCAAAUUUGUAAAUUGAUACUUGGGCGUUGAUUCGAGGCAAGUUGAGACUUUCUUAGACUUUUUUUUAAAGUGCUUAUUUGUUAGUUACGUGUAAUGGAAAUAAUGAGAAAUGGGGGAUCCCGUAUAAGUGAUUGUGACAACUAUCUAUGCGGGUACCUGUGUUAUUUGAGGGGAUAAAAUAAGUUAAUUGUACGUUUAAACUGUUUUUUUCUAUUUGCUAGCUUGAUGAACUGAUUUGCUAUGGUAAAUAAAUUAUUGAAAAAACUAGCUAAUGAUGAUACUUUCACUUGAUAAAUUGAGUUGACUUUGAAAUUGAUGUCUAAUCUGGCUUAAGACACGAAGUGUUUUGCUUGACUUUAUUGUUGAUUUGGGAUCGGAGUUGUACACCUGCACAUCAUGCAUUGCAUUUCAUAUGAGAUCGUAGUGCACACCUGCACAAUAUAUUUAUUGGAUCGGAGUGCACGCCUACACAAUACUUGGAUCUUGUGAAUCCCCCAUGGGUCUUGACCUUGAAGCCAUGCUCGAUAAAUGUGUACACAACAUAUGCAUUAUUUUGCAUCAUAUUGCAUUGAUUCAUUUGGUUCAGAUUGGUUAAGGUGUAUUUUUGACCUUGUACUUAUUGUAUAUGGGUUACUUGUUUCACUGGAUUGAGAAUUCUUAGAGUGUAUUAUGAUAUUCUUAUAACUGUUAAAUUUGAUUAUUCAGUUAGACUAGGGUGGCUUUCUUGAGCGCAGUUUGUUUGUUUGUUUUAGGUGAUUGACGUGGUAUCAUUCGUCACCACUUUGAAUUAGGGUUGAUCGACGGUGCUUACUGAGUACACGUGGUUCCGUACUCAUCCUUGCUUUUUCUGCACCUUACGUGAAGGUACAGAUCCGACGACCUCCAAACAUUGAAUCCCGUGGUUUUUUCUUU